ACGGGGAAAUGGAACGGGGACGGCAAUGGGGAUCCCCCGGCAGACCGCCCGACCGACCGCCCGCCCGGCCGACCGACCGACCGCCUUCCAUCGCGGGCAGCGCCGCCCGCAGCGCUCAGCCCGCCCCGUCGCAGGGAAACUGAGGCAGCGGCCGCGCGUGAGGGGGGUGGCCCGGCACGGGGGGGGGGGGGGACACACGGAGGGACAGUGGGGACCUGUGGGGUUUGGGAGGUGCCGCUGUGGUAAACCCGCACCCACCGCCCCCCGGCCUGUGUGCGGCGGCUGAGGGGGGGAACCCGCGUGCAGCGUUAGUGUGCGAUUCACCCGAAUCCGUAAUUGUGUCGCCGUGAGUUUUUAUUGCGGUCGUUAUUGUUACUGUUCUUUUCAUGUUGUGUCUUUUUUUUUUAAGCGCAGGGCUAAGGCCCAGUGGGGACUGUGGAGCGCCGUGCCUUGUGCCGCCCACUGUGUCCCUCACAAGCCAUCCCCUCAACCCUUCGCAUUUCUGUCCCCCUCAGAAGCCACCACUGUCCCCGUCAAAAGUCACCGACUCCCCCCAGACACCCCCUGCCCCAUUACAAGGUUCCCUAGUGAAAGUGCAGCCAGUGGAACAGAGCCCAUGCAGUGGCUUGUAUAAUUCUGUUGGUGCGAGUCCAGAAGAGGCUACAAAGUUGAUAAGAGAACCGGGGCACCUCCCAUAUGGAGACAGGCUGGGAAAGGUGGGGUGUUCAGCCUGGAGAAGGUUGUGUGGAGACCCAAAACAUCUUUCAGAAUCUGAAGAGACCUGCAAGGAAGCUGGAGAGGAGCUCUUCAUCAGGAACUGGAGUGACAGGACAAGGGGGAAUGGGUACAAACUGGAAAAGGGGAAAU
This is a long non-coding RNA of Poecile atricapillus (Black-capped chickadee), 867 nucleotides long. RefSeq lists it as uncharacterized. NCBI's taxonomy places the organism in Eukaryota, Metazoa, Chordata, Aves, Passeriformes, Paridae. The transcript is spliced from 2 exons. The record is from RefSeq and is a predicted model, not a curated record.